This 542-nucleotide ribosomal RNA is filed under the name uncultured bacterium. RNAcentral describes it as "bacterial SSU rRNA". It matches the Rfam family "Bacterial small subunit ribosomal RNA", at positions 963 to 1509 of the family's 1533-position model. The record is from RNAcentral.
CGAAAACCUUACCCACCUUUGACAUGGCAGGAACUUACCAGAGAUGGUUUGGUGCUCGAAAGAGAACCUGCACACAGGUGCUGCAUGGCUGUCGUCAGCUCGUGUCGUGAGAUGUUGGGUUAAGUCCCGCAACGAGCGCAACCCUUGCCAUUAGUUGCUACGAAAGGGCACUCUAAUGGGACUGCCGGUGACAAACCGGAGGAAGGUGGGGAUGACGUCAAGUCCUCAUGGCCCUUAUAGGUGGGGCUACACACGUCAUACAAUGGCUGGUACAAAGGGUCGCCAACCCGCGAGGGGGAGCCAAUCCCAUAAAGCCAGUCGUAGUCCGGAUCGCAGUCUGCAACUCGACUGCGUGAAGUCGGAAUCGCUAGUAAUCGUGGAUCAGAAUGUCACGGUGAAUACGUUCCCGGGUCUUGUACACACCGCCCGUCACACCAUGGGAGCGGGUCUCGCCAGAAGUAGGUAGCCUAACCGCAAGGAGGGCGCUUACCACGGCGGGGUUCGUGACUGGGGUGAAGUCGUAACAAGGUAGGCGUAGUGCU